This 1099-nucleotide small RNA is filed under the name Rhodotorula mucilaginosa. RNAcentral's name for it is "eukaryotic LSU rRNA". The stretch from base 505 to 1099 matches the Rfam family "Eukaryotic large subunit ribosomal RNA", at positions 1 to 589 of the family's 3401-position model. Lineage: Eukaryota; Fungi; Basidiomycota; Microbotryomycetes; Sporidiobolales; Sporidiobolaceae. The record is from RNAcentral.
UUGGAGUCCGAACUCUCACUUUCUAACCCUGUGCACUUGUUUGGGAUAGUAACUCUCGCAAGAGAGCGAACUCCUAUUCACUUAUAAACACAAAGUCUAUGAAUGUAUUAAAUUUUAUAACAAAAUAAAACUUUCAACAACGGAUCUCUUGGCUCUCGCAUCGAUGAAGAACGCAGCGAAAUGCGAUAAGUAAUGUGAAUUGCAGAAUUCAGUGAAUCAUCGAAUCUUUGAACGCACCUUGCGCUCCAUGGUAUUCCGUGGAGCAUGCCUGUUUGAGUGUCAUGAAUACUUCAACCCUCCUCUUUCUUAAUGAUUGAAGAGGUGUUUGGUUUCUGAGCGCUGCUGGCCUUUACGGUCUAGCUCGUUCGUAAUGCAUUAGCAUCCGCAAUCGAACUUCGGAUUGACUUGGCGUAAUAGACUAUUCGCUGAGGAAUUCUAGUCUUCGGACUAGAGCCGGGUUGGGUUAAAGGAAGCUUCUAAUCAGAAUGUCUACAUUUUAAGAUUAGAUCUCAAAUCAGGUAGGACUACCCGCUGAACUUAAGCAUAUCAAUAAGCGGAGGAAAAGAAACUAACAAGGAUUCCCCUAGUAGCGGCGAGCGAAGCGGGAAGAGCUCAAAUUUAUAAUCUGGCACCUUCGGUGUCCGAGUUGUAAUCUCUAGAAAUGUUUUCCGCGUUGGACCGCACACAAGUCUGUUGGAAUACAGCGGCAUAGUGGUGAGACCCCCGUAUAUGGUGCGGACGCCCAGCGCUUUGUGAUACAUUUUCGAAGAGUCGAGUUUGUUUGGGAAUGCAGCUCAAAUUGGGUGGUAAAUUCCAUCUAAAGCUAAAUAUUGGCGAGAGACCGAUAGCGAACAAGUACCGUGAGGGAAAGAUGAAAAGCCACUUUGGAAAGAGAGUUAACAGUACGUGAAAAUUGUUGGAAGGGAAACGCUUGAAGUCAGACUUGCUUGCCGAGCAAUCGGUUUGCAGGCCAGCAUCAGUUUUCCGGGAUGGAUAAUGGUAGAGAGAAGGUAGCAGUUUCGGCUGUGUUAUAGCUCUCUGCUGGAUACAUCUUGGGGGACUGAGGAACGCAGUGUGCCUUUGGCGGGGGUUUCGACCU